RNAcentral lists this ribosomal RNA (313 nucleotides) under Pseudomonas sp. LT15. Its description in RNAcentral is "bacterial SSU rRNA". It matches the Rfam family "Bacterial small subunit ribosomal RNA", at positions 56 to 371 of the family's 1533-position model. Lineage: Bacteria; Pseudomonadati; Pseudomonadota; Gammaproteobacteria; Pseudomonadales; Pseudomonadaceae. The record is from RNAcentral.
UGCAAGUCGAGCGGAUGACGGGAGCUUGCUCCUGGAUUCAGCGGCGGACGGGUGAGUAAUGCCUAGGAAUCUGCCUGGUAGUGGGGGACAACGUUUCGAAAGGAACGCUAAUACCGCAUACGUCCUACGGGAGAAAGCAGGGGACCUUCGGGCCUUGCGCUAUCAGAUGAGCCUAGGUCGGAUUAGCUAGUUGGUGAGGUAAUGGCUCACCAAGGCGACGAUCCGUAACUGGUCUGAGAGGAUGAUCAGUCACACUGGAACUGAGACACGGUCCAGACUCCUACGGGAGGCAGCAGUGGGGAAUAUUGGACUA